RNAcentral lists this long non-coding RNA (424 nucleotides) under Homo sapiens (human). RNAcentral's name for it is "HSALNT0262951". The record is from RNAcentral. Lineage: Eukaryota; Metazoa; Chordata; Mammalia; Primates; Hominidae.
CAGGUGUGAGUCAUCAUGCUUGGCUGAGACCCCAUUUCAAAAAAAAAAAAAAGUUCACUACUUCUCCCAGUCUUGCCUAGUGUAGUAGAAGGAUCUCACGAAUCCAUCUGGCCAAAGAUUUAAGGUGCUUCUCUAAUCUUUGUGUUUGUCCAGAAUGCUGUCUCUGUUUUUGGUAACUCUCUGGAACUUAGGAUGUACUACAUUCUGUCAUUAUCCUAAGGCCAGAAGGUAGGAACCAGACUCUUUUGAUGUAGCUGGAAUGUGUUGAGGGUGUUGAAUGUGUUCCAGUUUCUUCCGUUUUCAUGAUGCAGCUGAGCAUGGGUAUUUAUCUCCUGCUGCCUGCAUUAAGUUAGUUAGAGAUCUGUGUCAAAUGCCUAAAGUCGGCCAGGCGCAGUGGCUCACACCUGUAAUCCCAGCACUUUGG